This 53-nucleotide transfer RNA is filed under the name Paratenuisentis ambiguus. RNAcentral's name for it is "transfer RNA-Ala". The record is from RNAcentral. Lineage: Eukaryota; Metazoa; Acanthocephala; Eoacanthocephala; Neoechinorhynchida; Tenuisentidae.
GAUUGUUUAGGUUAAAUAAACCAUAUAAAUUGCUAUUAUAAAAUAUUCAAUCA